UACGGGGGGGGUAAGCGUUGUUCGGAAUUACUGGGCGUAAAGGGCUCGUAGGCGGCCAACUAAGUCAUACGUGAAAUCCCUCAGCUUAACUGGGGAACUGCGUGUGAUACUGGAUGGCUUGGAUUUGGGAGAGGGAUGCGGAAUUCCAGGUGUAGCGGUGAAAUGCGUAGAUAUCUGAAGGAACACCGGUGGCGAAGGCGGAUCUCUGGACCAGUUCUGACACUGAUGAGCGAAAGCCAGGGGAGCAAACAGG
This 253-nucleotide ribosomal RNA is filed under the name uncultured bacterium. Its description in RNAcentral is "partial 16S ribosomal RNA". It matches the Rfam family "Bacterial small subunit ribosomal RNA", at positions 524 to 776 of the family's 1533-position model. The record is from RNAcentral.